GUAGGGUGCGAGCGUUAAUCGGAAUUACUGGGCGUAAAGCGUGCGCAGGCGGUUCGCUGUGUCCUGUGUGAAAGCCCCGGGCUCAACCUUGGAAUGGCAUGGGAAACUGGCGGGCUGGAGUGUGGCAGAGGGGGGUGGAAUUCCGCGUGUAGCAGUGAAAUGCGUAGAGAUGCGGAGGAACACCGAUGGCGAAGGCAGCCCCCUGGGCCAACACUGACGCUCAGGCACGAAAGCGUGGGGAGCAAACAGGAUUAGAUACCCUGGUAGUCCACGCCCUAAACGAUGUCGACUGGGUGUUGGGGAAGCGAUUCCUUGGUACCGAAGCUAACGCGUGAAGUCGACCGCCUGGGGAGUACGGCCGCAAGGUUA
RNAcentral lists this ribosomal RNA (369 nucleotides) under uncultured bacterium. Its description in RNAcentral is "bacterial SSU rRNA". It matches the Rfam family "Bacterial small subunit ribosomal RNA", at positions 527 to 896 of the family's 1533-position model. The record is from RNAcentral.